This is a small nucleolar RNA of Sapajus apella (tufted capuchin), 71 nucleotides long. RefSeq annotates it as small nucleolar RNA SNORD113/SNORD114 family. Lineage: Eukaryota; Metazoa; Chordata; Mammalia; Primates; Cebidae. The record is from RefSeq and is a predicted model, not a curated record. The transcript has a single exon.
UGGAUUGCUGAUGACUACUGGUGGCGUAUAGGUCAUAGACAGUGGUAUGUGUUUGGAGCUCUGAGGUCCGU